This 299-nucleotide ribosomal RNA is filed under the name uncultured bacterium. RNAcentral describes it as "partial 16S ribosomal RNA". It matches the Rfam family "Bacterial small subunit ribosomal RNA", at positions 333 to 630 of the family's 1533-position model. The record is from RNAcentral.
UCGUUUCUACGGGACGCAGCAGUGAGGAAUAUUGGUCAAUGGUCGGGAGACUGAACCAGCCAAGCCGCGUGAGGGAGGAAGGUACAGAGUAUCGUAAACCUCUUUUGUCAGGGAACAAAGGCGGGGACGUGUCCCCGGAUGAGUGUACCCGAAGAAAAAGCAUCGGCUAACUCCGUGCCAGCAGCCGCGGUAAUACGGAGGAUGCGAGCGUUAUCCGGAUUUAUUGGGUUUAAAGGGUGCGCAGGCGGUCUGUUAAGUCAGCGGUCAAAGCCCGGGGGUCACCCCCGGCCCGCCGUUGC